AUACGUAGGGGGCGAGCGUUAUCCGGAUUUAUUGGGCGUAAAGCGUGUGUAGGCGGUUUGUUAAGUUCGGGAUGAAAUGCUGAGGCUUAACCUCAGUUAGUUUCGAAUACUGGCAGACUAGAGUGCAGUAGAGGCAAUUGGAAUUCAUAGUGUAGCGGUGGAAUGCGUAGAUAUUAUGAGGAACAUCAGUGGCGAAGGCGAAUUGCUGGGCGGUUACUGACGCUGAGACACGAAAGCGUGGGGAGCAAAUAGGAUUAGAUACCCUAGUAGUCCACGCCGUAAACGAUGAGCACUAAGUGUCGGGCAACCGGUGCUGAAGUUAACACAUUAAGUGCUCCGCCUGAGUAGUACGGUCGCAAGACUGAAACUCAAAGGAAUUGGCGGGG
This 386-nucleotide ribosomal RNA is filed under the name uncultured bacterium. RNAcentral's name for it is "partial 16S ribosomal RNA". It matches the Rfam family "Bacterial small subunit ribosomal RNA", at positions 523 to 918 of the family's 1533-position model. The record is from RNAcentral.